Molecule: ribosomal RNA, 390 nt
Filed under: Triticum aestivum (bread wheat)
Lineage: Eukaryota; Viridiplantae; Streptophyta; Magnoliopsida; Poales; Poaceae
Description: partial small subunit ribosomal RNA
Source: RNAcentral
AUGGUCUACAUGGUUAUAUUCUCCAUGGGCAACAUCGGCCUCAUGUUCCUCUUCUCCAUGGGCAAUGUCGGGCUCAAGUUCGUCCUCUAUGCUGAAGAAGAAUCAUCAGCAUGUGCACAUGAACAAGGAGAACAAAGGAGUAGACGAUCAAGAUGUACCUGGGUUCAUGUUCAGAUCGAUUUGGUGACCAACCUGGAGCUCUUCCUCAUGCAAGGGAGACUCGUGUUCAUAUUCUCUGAUGAAUUGGUGGCCGACCUGGAGUACUUCAUGCAAGUGAGGCUCAAAACUGACAUGGAGUUCUUCAUGCAAGGCAGCCUCAAGUUCGUCCUCUAUGGCAAAGAAGAAGAAUCAGCAUGCACACAUGAACAAGGAGAACAAGUGAAAAGAUGA